CCGCGUGGGUGAAGAAGGCCUUCGGGUUGUAAAGCCCUUUUGUUGGGAAAGAAAAGCAUUCGGUUAAUACCCGGGUGUUCUGACGGUACCCAAAGAAUAAGCACCGGCUAACUUCGUGCCAGCAGCCGCGGUAAUACGAAGGGUGCAAGCGUUACUCGGAAUUACUGGGCGUAAAGCGUGCGUAGGUGGUUGUUUAAGUCCGUUGUGAAAGCCCUGGGCUCAACCUGGGAACUGCAGUGGAUACUGGGCAACUAGAGUGUGGGAGAGGAUAGUGGAAUUUCCGGUGUAGCAGUGAAAUGCCUAUAGAUCGGGAGGAACAUCUGUGGCGAACGCAACUAUCUGGGCCAACACUGACACUGAGGCACGAAAGCGUGGGGAGCAAACAGGAUUACAUACCCUGGUAGUCCACGCCCUAAACAAUGCUAACUGGAUGUUGGGUUCAACUUGGAACCCAAUAUCCAACCUCACGCGUUAAGUUCGCCGCCGGGGGAGUACGGUCGCAAGACUGAAACUCAAAGGAAUUGACGGAGGCCCGCACAAGCGGUGGAGUAUGUGGUUUAAUUCUAUGCAACGCUGACAACCUUACCUGGUCUUGACAUCUGCUGAACUUUCUAGA
This 616-nucleotide ribosomal RNA is filed under the name Pseudoxanthomonas sp. Ri1Ps_4841. RNAcentral's name for it is "bacterial SSU rRNA". It matches the Rfam family "Bacterial small subunit ribosomal RNA", at positions 397 to 1004 of the family's 1533-position model. Lineage: Bacteria; Pseudomonadati; Pseudomonadota; Gammaproteobacteria; Lysobacterales; Lysobacteraceae. The record is from RNAcentral.